CCAGGUUACUAGGCCCUUAUUAGAAGUCCAGUCUAUCAGUUAGUUGAUUAGAUCAAAAAAUUAAUAAAUUCAUAUUUUCUAUGUGACAGAUAAAUACAUAGAGUUUGAUUUAAAAUAAUCUUACACGAAGUGAAUAAAUAGGAUUUAGGAUUAAAAUCUUAAAUAUGUCAAUAAAUAAAUUAAUAGAUUAUAAGAAAUUAAUAUAAACGGGUUAUUCAUGUCUGUUUACAAAUAAUAUUUUGUUUAUUUAAAGUGUGGUGAAUGUGCCUUUCUGAAAGUGUGAAAGAUUCGGGUGACAUUGGGAGUUCACGUGAUGUAACGUAGCGUUACCAAGGAGACGCCGUCAAGGUGUGCGUGCUGUCGUGUUUUUCUCUCUCUCUGCCGGACCAACGUCAAGGUGGCGUCAUGCUAACCUGUUGCUGCAGAUAUCACUGUUUUGUGUAAGAGAGCCAAAUAUUCCAACGUCUUCCCAACGUUAAUUUUAUCGUCGGUGCAGAGAGCGAAGCUUUUCUUCUUGAUUAGCGGACCGUGUGUUUUGUGACAGACGAAGGAGAACGUGAGUUGUGUUUAUUAGCAGCAUGGCGCUAGCCCGUGCUAUUAGCCACAUUUACUCCGCUAAAUUCUGUUUUGAGGUUAUACGUUACUGAACUCCCGUGUCCCUGUCUCUUCAAAAAGUGAAACCUGGACUGAUGAGAGCUGUGUUCUGCCUUGUACCCGGAGUGUGUGUAUAUGUGAUGCUUGAGCCUCUGGCCGGGUCUUAUUUUCUUUGGUUGGAUUCCUGGGUUGAGAUCUGCAUGAAGAUGACUUCUUCUUCUUCCGCUGGGAUUUCCCCCAUUCUUUAGAGGUAGAGGGGAACCUCAGUGGUAGUGGCGAGCCGCCCAAACAGAGACUGUGAUUAUUCAGUGAUUGAGUUUAUUGAGAACUGUGUUGAUAUCUCAUGUUAUGUGGACAAUUUAAAUUUGUUUUUUCUUAUUCUCAAUUUUAUUUCUUUACUCAACACAAUGUAACAUACUUAAAACUUACCUGUUGGUUGUGUGAAUCCUUUACUCUCACUCAAUGCAAUAUUGCUAAUACCCCUUUCUCCUGUAGCGAUCUAGACUUCUGAUUUUCUGGUCCACAAGGUAAUUAAUGCACUAAUAAAUAAACAUACCUGUA
This is a long non-coding RNA of Dicentrarchus labrax (European seabass), 1155 nucleotides long. RefSeq lists it as uncharacterized. NCBI's taxonomy places the organism in Eukaryota, Metazoa, Chordata, Actinopteri, Moronidae. The transcript has 2 exons. The record is from RefSeq and is a predicted model, not a curated record.